UUGGAGGCUGAAACUCGCCUCCAUNAAGUUGGAUUCGCUAGUAAUCGCGCAUCAGCCAUGGCGCGGUGAAUACGUUCCCGGGCCUUGUACACACCGCCCGUCAAGCCAUGGGAGUUGGGGGUGCCUGAAGUACGUGACCGCAAGGAGCGUCCUAGGGCAAAACCGAUGACUGGGGCUAAGUCGUAACAAGGUAAC
This 195-nucleotide ribosomal RNA is filed under the name uncultured bacterium. Its description in RNAcentral is "partial 16S ribosomal RNA". It matches the Rfam family "Bacterial small subunit ribosomal RNA", at positions 1298 to 1500 of the family's 1533-position model. The record is from RNAcentral.